This is a small nuclear RNA of Monodelphis domestica (gray short-tailed opossum), 103 nucleotides long. Lineage: Eukaryota; Metazoa; Chordata; Mammalia; Didelphimorphia; Didelphidae. The record is from RefSeq and is a predicted model, not a curated record.
UGCUUUGGUAGUACACAUAUUACUAAUAUUGGAAUGAUAGAGAAGGUUAGCAUGGCUGCUGUGCAAGGAUGAUAUGCAAAUUCAUGAAUUGUUCCAUUAAAAA